UGGGGAAUAUUGGACAAUGGGCGAAAGCCUGAUCCAGCCAUGCCGCGUGUGUGAAGAAGGUCUUCGGAUUGUAAAGCACUUUAAGUUGGGAGGAAGGGCAGUAAGCGAAUACCUUGCUGUUUUGACGUUACCGACAGAAUAAGCACCGGCUAACUCUGAGCCAGCAGCCGCGGUAAUACAGAGGGUGCAAGCGUUAAUCGGAAUUACUGUGCGUAAAGCGCGCGUAGGUGGUUCGUUAAGUUGAAUGUGAAAGCCCCGGGCUCAACCUGGGAACCGCAUCCAAAACUGGCGAGCUAGAGGAGGGCAGAGGGUGGUGGAAUUUCCUGUGUAGCGGUGCAAUGCUUAGAUAUAGGAAGGAACACCAGUUGCGAAGGCGACCACCUGGGCUCUAACUGACACUGAAGUGCGAAAGCGUGGGGAGCAAACAGG
This 429-nucleotide ribosomal RNA is filed under the name Pseudomonadota bacterium. RNAcentral's name for it is "Proteobacteria bacterium partial 16S ribosomal RNA". It matches the Rfam family "Bacterial small subunit ribosomal RNA", at positions 355 to 776 of the family's 1533-position model. The record is from RNAcentral. Lineage: Bacteria; Pseudomonadati; Pseudomonadota.